UUCGAGCUUGGCUGGAGAGUGCGGUCGGACCACGCAGCUGGAAGACGCGGCAGGGUUUUGGUAGAGCCGCAACCGGGCUCUCAAUCGUAGAGCUGGGAAAAGAAAUGCGGCGGGCACAGUCGGAGGAGCUGGGGCCGGAUAAAGUUGGGCAGCUACCAAAAAUGCAAGCGGCCAGAUUUAAUGUGAACAAUUCCUAGCGGCCGAAGAAUAUCUAGCGGCCGAGAAUUCCUAGUUGCACAAUUCCUAGCGGGCGAAGAAUUCCUAGUGGGCGAGGAAUUCCUAGCAACCGAGAAUUCCUAGCGGCCGAAGAAUUCCUAGCGGACGAGAAUUCCUAGCAGGG
RNAcentral lists this long non-coding RNA (340 nucleotides) under Prunus persica (peach). RNAcentral's name for it is "long non-coding RNA (PPER_LNC003467)". Lineage: Eukaryota; Viridiplantae; Streptophyta; Magnoliopsida; Rosales; Rosaceae. The record is from RNAcentral.